RNAcentral lists this ribosomal RNA (2007 nucleotides) under Streptococcus iniae. RNAcentral describes it as "bacterial LSU rRNA". It matches the Rfam family "Bacterial large subunit ribosomal RNA", at positions 1 to 2026 of the family's 2925-position model. The record is from RNAcentral. Lineage: Bacteria; Bacillati; Bacillota; Bacilli; Lactobacillales; Streptococcaceae.
AUAAGGUUAAGUUAAUAAGGGCGCACGGUGGAUGCCUUGGCACUAGAAGCCGAAGAAGGACGUGACUAACGACGAAAUGCUUUGGGGAGCUGUAAGUAAGCGCUGAUCCAGAGAUGUCCGAAUGGGGGAACCCGGCAUGUAAUGCAUGUCAUCCAUGACUGUUAAGGUCAUGAGAAGGAAGACGCAGUGAACUGAAACAUCUAAGUAGCUGCAGGAAGAGAAAGCAAAAGCGAUUGCCUUAGUAGCGGCGAGCGAAACGGCAGGAGGGCAAACCGAGGAGUUUACUCCUCGGGGUUGUAGGACUGCGACGUGGGACUAAAAUUAAUAGAAGAAUUACCUGGGAAGGUAAGCCAAAGAGAGUAAAAGCCUCGUAUUUAAAAUUGAAAUUAGCCCUAGCAGUAUCCUGAGUACGGCGAGACACGCGAAAUCUCGUCGGAAUCUGGGAGGACCAUCUCCCAACCCUAAAUACUCUCUAGUGACCGAUAGUGAACCAGUACCGUGAGGGAAAGGUGAAAAGCACCCCGGGAGGGGAGUGAAAUAGAACCUGAAACCGUGUGCCUACAACAAGUUCGAGCCCGUUAAUGGGUGAGAGCGUGCCUUUUGUAGAAUGAACCGGCGAGUUACGAUAUGAUGCGAGGUUAAGUUGAAGAGACGGAGCCGUAGGGAAACCGAGUCUUAAUAGGGCGACAUAGUAUCAUGUUGUAGACCCGAAACCAUGUGACCUACCCAUGAGCAGGUUGAAGGUGCGGUAAAACGCACUGGAGGACCGAACCAGGGCACGUUGAAAAGUGCUUGGAUGACUUGUGGGUAGCGGAGAAAUUCCAAACGAACUUGGAGAUAGCUGGUUCUCUCCGAAAUAGCUUUAGGGCUAGCGUCGAUGUUAAGUCUCUUGGAGGUAGAGCACUGUUUGGGUGAGGGGUCCAUCCCGGAUUACCAAUCUCAGAUAAACUCCGAAUGCCAAGACGAUAUAAUCGGCAGUCAGACUGCGAGUGCUAAGAUCCGUAGUCGAAAGGGAAACAGCCCAGACCACCAGCUAAGGUCCCAAAAUAAUUGUUAAGUGGAAAAGGAUGUGGGGUUGCACAGACAACUAGGAUGUUAGCUUAGAAGCAGCUAUUCAUUCAAAGAGUGCGUAAUAGCUCACUAGUCGAGUGACCCUGCGCCGAAAAUGUACCGGGGCUAAAACAAUUUACCGAAGCUGUGGAUUACCUUAAGAGGUAAUGGUAGGAGAGCGUUCUAUAUGUGAAGAAGGUAUACCGUGAGGAGUGCUGGAACGUAUAGAAGUGAGAAUGCCGGUAUGAGUAGCGAAAGACAGGUGAGAAUCCUGUCCACCGUAAGACUAAGGUUUCCAGGGGAAGGCUCGUCCGCCCUGGGUUAGUCGGGACCUAAGGAGAGACCGAAAGGUGUAUUCGAUGGCCAACAGGUUGAUAUUCCUGUACUAGUGUAUAUAGUGAUGGAGGGACGCAGAAGGCUAACUAAACCAGACGACUGGAAGAGUCUGGCCAAUCAGUGAGGCGUGAUAUGAGUCAAAUGCUUAUAUCUAUAACGUUGAGCUGUGAUGGGGAGCGAAUUAAGUAGCGAAGUUAGUGAUGUCACACUGCCAAGAAAAGCUUCUAGCGUUUAAGUAUACACUACCCGUACCGCAAACCGACACAGGUAGUCGAGGCGAGUAGCCUCAGGUGAUCGAGAGAACUCUCGUUAAGGAACUCGGCAAAAUGACCCCGUAACUUCGGGAGAAGGGGUGCUGUCAGCGAUGACAGCCGCAGUGAAUAGGCCCAAGCAACUGUUUAUCAAAAACACAGCUCUCUGCUAAAUCGUAAGAUGAUGUAUAGGGGGUGACGCCUGCCCGGUGCUGGAAGGUUAAGAGGAGUGCUUAGCGUAAGCGAAGGUAUGAAUUGAAGCCCCAGUAAACGGCGGCCGUAACUAUAACGGUCCUAAGGUAGCGAAAUUCCUUGUCGGGUAAGUUCCGACCCGCACGAAAGGCGUAAUGAUUUGGGCACUGUCUCAACG